ACAGGAGGAGACAAAAGUUGUAGGAAAGAUUAAAAUCCUGACUGCACUGCAGUCAGUAAUAAAAUUGCCACUGCCUGCUGCAAUAGAAACAGGAUUUGCCCUUAUGUAAAUAUACCACGUCUGUGCCGGUUCUCCUUCAGGCACAACCAGCGCCCCGGUGACGAGGACUGCAGCAAACAGCAGCAGGCAAAACCUGAUGAUGGAGGAAUUAGUGCUAGAACUGGGUCGUUUCUGCUGCUCCAGAGCGUUUGCAGUUUACAAGCCGGGGGAAGGAACUGUUUGAACGGUCCUCUGGCACAAGAAAGCUGGGAAAUCUCGGCAGGCUGUGGAAGGCCCCAGACCCAAGCCUCCCGCAUCCAAGAUUCCCAGUGUUCUCCUCCACAUCUUCUUCAUUGGGAUCCCUAUCUAAGCUGCACAGCACCCAGCACUGGACACAGUACACCGGCUGAAGCUUUCCUGGGAUGACAAAAGUGGAAGAAUUGCUCACAAUAACCUACAGCCUGUAUUCCUAUUCCUGCAUCCUUGUGUGGCAUUUAGUAUCUUUGCCUGACAUGGGAGGCUUGGGUUCAAAGCCUUCUAUAAGCUUAUAGAUAUCACCUACAGCAGAAUUUCAAACAGUCAACGCUUAAGCUUUGAAAGCUAAAUGUUAAGGUGGGCUUUGAAUCAGAUGCCUCUCUUAAUGUGCACAUGUUUAUGUUGAUCAUCUAUUUCAUGUAGUUGCCAAAGUGUUUUAGAAAAGUCUGGAGGACAUUUGCUAAAAUAGGACCCAUUUAGGGGGAAAUAACAGGAGACAGUCUCUAAGAGUUGUUGUUUAAACAAUCUUAUCUCAAUUUCUGUUUCUCUGCGGGAGGCAGAAAUGCAAGAAAAUGAGUACAGAUGAGAAAAAUAAAAUUAAGCAUCCUGGGUUUUAUCACAUGUUUGUGAGCUUGAGUAAAAUUCAAAGACACAUAAAUUUCCCGUGGCAUCAGAACCAACCCUUUCAUUUCUAAUUUGUUUCAAAAAUAAAC
Molecule: long non-coding RNA, 1007 nt
Organism: Rhea pennata
Lineage: Eukaryota; Metazoa; Chordata; Aves; Rheiformes; Rheidae
Exons: 3
Source: RefSeq, a predicted model, not a curated record